AGUGUUGAAACACCGGUUCUCCUACGAUCAUCGAAGUUAAGCAACGAUAAGCCUGGUUAGUACCCAGAAGGGCGACCGCUUGGGAAUACCAGGUGCUGUAAU
Non-coding RNA from Acanthosepion pharaonis, 102 nucleotides. The record is from the annotation of a GenBank genome assembly. NCBI's taxonomy places the organism in Eukaryota, Metazoa, Mollusca, Cephalopoda, Sepiida, Sepiidae.